ACUCCUACGGGAGGCAGCAGUGGGGAAUAUUGCACAAUGGGCGCAAGCCUGAUGCAGCCAUGCCGCGUGUGUGAAGAAGGCCUUCGGGUUGUAAAGCACUUUCAGUCGUGAGGAAGGUAGUGUAGUUAAUAGCUGCAUUAUUUGUACGUUAGCGACAGAAGAAGCACCGGCUAACUCCGUGCCAGCAGCCGCGGUAAGUACGGAGGGUGCGAGCGUUAAUCGGAAUUACGUGGGCGUAAAGCGCAUGCUAGGGUGGUUUGUUAAGUCAGAUGUGAAACGCCGGGGCUCAACCUCGGAAUAGCAUUUGAAACUGGCAGACUAGAGUACUGUAGAGGGGGUAGAAUUUGAGGUGUAGCGGUGAAAUGCGUAGAGAU
RNAcentral lists this ribosomal RNA (374 nucleotides) under uncultured bacterium. RNAcentral's name for it is "bacterial SSU rRNA". It matches the Rfam family "Bacterial small subunit ribosomal RNA", at positions 335 to 697 of the family's 1533-position model. The record is from RNAcentral.